ACAAGACAAGUCAAAGGAACAGAAGCUCAGAUUGCUGUUGGUAACUUCAGAUCUAAAUUAAAAACUAGAGAAGAAAUACUGAAGUCCGUCAACAAAAGCAUUGAAGACAUUGAAGAAAAACAACAACAG
Long non-coding RNA from Fundulus heteroclitus (mummichog), 129 nucleotides. RefSeq lists it as uncharacterized. NCBI's taxonomy places the organism in Eukaryota, Metazoa, Chordata, Actinopteri, Cyprinodontiformes, Fundulidae. The record is from RefSeq and is a predicted model, not a curated record. The transcript is spliced from 3 exons.